RNAcentral lists this ribosomal RNA (433 nucleotides) under uncultured bacterium. RNAcentral describes it as "partial 16S ribosomal RNA". It matches the Rfam family "Bacterial small subunit ribosomal RNA", at positions 29 to 507 of the family's 1533-position model. The record is from RNAcentral.
AACGAACGCUGGCGGCAUGCCUAACACAUGCAAGUCGAACGAGACCUUCGGGUCUAGUGGCGCACGGGUGCGUAACGCGUGGGAACCUGCCCUUAGGUUCGGAAUAACUCCCCGAAAGGGGUGCUAAUACCGGAUAAUGUCUUCGGACCAAAGAUUUAUCGCCUUUGGAUGGGCCCGCGUUGGUUUAGCUGGUUGGUAGGGUAAAAGCCUACCAAGGCGACGAUCCAUAGCUGGUCUGAGAGGAUGAUCAGCCACACUGGGACUGAGACACGGCCCAGACUACUACGGGAGGCAGCAGUGGGGAAUAUUGGACAAUGGGCGAAAGCCUGAUCCAGCAAUGCCGCGUGAGUGAUGAAGGCCUUAGGGUUGUAAAGCUCUUUUACCCGGGAUGAUAAUGACAGUACCGGGAGAAUAAGCUCCGGCUAACUCCGUG